This 429-nucleotide ribosomal RNA is filed under the name bacterium. RNAcentral's name for it is "partial 16S ribosomal RNA". It matches the Rfam family "Bacterial small subunit ribosomal RNA", at positions 355 to 776 of the family's 1533-position model. The record is from RNAcentral.
UAGGGAAUCUUCCACAAUGGGCGCAAGCCUGAUGGAGCAACACCGCGUGAGUGAAGAAGGGUUUCGGCUCGUAAAGCUCUGUUGUUAAAGAAGAACACGUAUGAGAGUAACUGUUCAUACGUUGACGGUAUUUAACCAGAAAGUCACGGCUAACUACGUGCCAGCAGCCGCUGUAAUACGUAGGUGGCAAGCGUUAUCCGGAUUUAUUGGGCGUAAAGAGAGUGCAGGCGGUUUUCUAAGUCUGAUGUGAAAGCCUUCGGCUUAACCGGAGAAGUGCAUCGGAAACUGGAUAACUUGAGUGCAGAAGAGGGUAGUGGAACUCCAUGUGUAGCGGUGGAAUGCGUAGAUAUAUGGAAGAACACCAGUGGCGAAGGCGGCUACCUGGUCUGCAACUGACGCUGAGACUCGAAAGCAUGGGUAGCGAACAGG